RNAcentral lists this ribosomal RNA (226 nucleotides) under uncultured bacterium. RNAcentral's name for it is "partial 16S ribosomal RNA". It matches the Rfam family "Bacterial small subunit ribosomal RNA", at positions 109 to 334 of the family's 1533-position model. The record is from RNAcentral.
CGGAACACGUACGCAAUCUACCCAAAACUGGUGAAUAGCCCUCCGAAAGGAGGAUUAAUACACCGUAACCUAGGGAGGUGGCAUCACUUCAUUAGUAUAGCUCCGGCGGUUUUGGAUGAGCGUGCGGCUGAUUAGAUAGUUGGUGUGGGUAACGGCCCACCAAGUCUGCGAUCAGUAACUGGUGUGAGAGCACGACCAGUCACACGGGCACUGAGACACGGGCCCG